UAAAAGAUAACUACAAUUAACUGCUCAUAUAAAGUUAAAUUAAUAACAGAAAAAAUAAGGUAGAUUACUUACGAGAACCAGAUUUGGCCCAGAGCUUAUUACGUGACUCGUCAGAAGAAUGAGUCUUGAUAUGGAUGAUGUAAAAGGUGUCGUCUUUGUCAGCUAAGUUAUCAAUGGCCCAUUUAAGAGCAGUUUUGCUGCUCUUUGAGAAAUCCAUUGCUACACCAAUUGUCCUGUCUUUCACCAUUUUCGCUUACUAGUUUCUUCUUCUUCUUCUUCUUUGUUUUUUCUUCUUAAAAAAGAGAUGCAGAGCACUUUCUUGCGUGUGAAAACUGAAAGCGGAAAAACAAAAUACGCGUUAAGGCAAAAAGAUAUAAAGCUAAGGUUCGCUUGGGACAGCUAUUUAAGGAUAUCGUUUUCUUAGUGCCGCUUGUCUUCUUUCGCUUUCAAAGUACACUAAGAAUUUACGGAUGGACACAUUAUAGUCAUUUUACUCGGCAAAAAAAUUAUUCUCAUCCGAUGUUUUCAUUAAAUCACAUUUAAUUAAUCAUUGUUAAGUGAUCCUCAGUCUCAAUUUACGUGACGUUCACUUUUAAUUGUCUUAAUUAUUCUAAUUUACUUUUGGCGAGAUAUUUAUAACUGUACAAAUAUUUAUAACUUAUUUUUUAUCAAAAAUUAUAAUUAAAAAAAAAUUAAAUUUUAUAUCUAGUUAAAUAUCAUUACAUAAAUUUGGGACAAAGAGAGAAAUAUAUUGAGCUAGGGACUAUACAUAUUAAUUUAUUAAUUAACUUUAGAUAAGUGACAAAAGUGUAUAUAAAAAACUAUAUAAUCUGCUUAUCAAUUUAUUGUGAACAUGAAUGGAUAAGUUUUAGUGCUCGAGUUGCUCAUUUCUUUUGUUUUAGCUUAAAAUGUGCAAAGAAAAUAAAGAAAACCGCGUACCGUACAUGACAUUACAAAUUUAUUAUUCCUUAAUGAGUAAUGUAUGUGCCUUGUUAAUUUUGAUAUUACUUCUUUUGGCAGUACUAGUAGAUGAAGAAUUAUAUACGUACCGUCGGGGCGGCCCGAUCAAUUUCGUGGCCUAAAACCAAAUUUUACGAGGGGUCUUAACAUGUUUAUUAAUAAAAAAUAUUUUAUUUUUAUUUGAAAUCUAUUUUUCUAACUUUUUUUAGAUGCAAAGUUAUUAUUAAUUAUUUAUAAUCAGCUUCUCCUAAUAAGUUUUUCUCAAUUGACAAUAUAACUAAUUUAUUUAAUAUCUUUGAGACAUUGUUAAUCUUAGGUAAGGUUUUAUCAAUUUUAAUUUUGAAACACUUUUUUCCGCUGAAGCAACGGUAAUAGGAGUUAUUAACAUUAUUCUAAAAUAAUCAAACCUUUUUAUUUGAUUGAGUAUAUCAAUUAAAUUAUUAUCUUCUAAUUGUACUAUUUUUCUUAAUAUUUUUGAUUCAAAAUAUAAAUCUAAACUAUCAAUAUCGGGUUGAUUAUUAUGAUUUAAGGAGCGUUCAAAAUGAAGGCAAUAUUUAUUCAAAUUUCCAUCAACUAGUGAUCUCAGUUUUUACCGCUAAAUAUAAAACCAAAAAUAUUUUCAUAUGCCUCUAAUUGUUCAAAUCUAUUUUAAAGUGAAAAAAUAUCCUUGUCUACUACUCUCUCUGGUCCAUAAUAAGUGAUUUUUUGGAUUUUAUUUUGGUCCAAAAUAAGUGUCCUUUUAUAUAAUCGAGAAAGAAUUAACUUUAUUUUUUUAAAAUUUGCCCUUAUUUACAUAUCUAUUGGUGUCAAGUUAACAACAUAUAAAUUUUAGUUAAGGAUAAUUCAGUCAAAAUAUAUUUUUAUUUUAGGAGUAAGUAUUUUCUUAAGGGGUAUAUCAAAGGUUAAAAAGUCAUUUAUUAUGGACCAGAGGGAGUAUGUAUAAAAAGUAAUCAACUCUAAAGGACACAGAGAGAUUUUGAGAUUUCACUAUUAACAUUCUCCUCAAAUUGUUUCUUCAUAUAUAUUACACGUUUCUUAUGAAAUUCGGGUUCGAUAUUAAUUUCAAAUGCAAUUUCCUUGGCAGAAAUCAAAACAGUUACAAAUCCUUCAUCUCUUUAUUCGUUAAAUAAAGAAAUCAAACUUUUUCAAUUCACAUAACUUUUUUUUUUAAAAUUUAUAUAUAGCCUAUUAGGUGUAAAAAAAAAAAAUAGGGUCUCCACAAAUAUAGGGCCUAAAGCAAUUAUUUUACCUGCUUUAUGGACGGGUCGCCUCUGCGUACCGUCUCUACAAUACCUUCAACUAUAUUAUCGUGUGAUUUUGAAUAUCAUUGAACCUGAUUUUCAUGUACUGUUUGUAACAUAAGUUACAAUUUUGAUCUCAUGAACAAGUUUGUUCAUGUAACUUCUUUAUGCAUGCAUUCAAAGAAAUUGUAUGUAAAUAAGGCAUGUCAUUUGCUUAUUGAUUUGGUAUAAACAUUUAAUAUGAUUAAAUUUUUUAAGUUUGAGUUGCUUUUCUUUUGUUUAAGCUUAACAUUCAAAGAAAUAAAGGCGUACUUUAAUAUUUUCCGUCUCAAAUGACAUUAUAUAAUUUAUUUUUCCUUAAUAUAAAUAAUGCGUGUUCUGUUGUUAAUUUUGAUUAAGUAAAGAGAGUAUUUUACAUGCAUUCCCUAUAGUAUGAAUCCGCAAUGACCAUAGGGAUAAAAUAGUUUAAUUUUUUUUAAGCGGUAAGUUGUGUGUAUGAGUCAGCUAAAUGUGCACCUUAAUUAAGUAGAUACUUGAUACCAUGUGCUCCGACACUAGUAUCUGAUAAUAAUAUCAGAAAAAAAUUAUUUAUAGUUCUUUUUUAUCCAAGGAAUUAAAAGAAUGAAACAUAACAUAUAUAUAUGGAUUAGGCAAAAUUGAGCAAAUUAUCAAUCUCUGUUUAGUUAUUGAAACCAAAAACACGAUCUUAUCACAAGAGAAAUAAAUGCAUUUUAAGCUUAUUAUCUUAUUCAACGGGCAUCAUAAGUCGCAAUGCUUGAAUUCAACGACGAAGAGUUGUUGAUCAGUGCUUGUGGAAAUCUGGAUCCUUGACUACAGUCACAGGGCAGGUCGCAUUAGACAUUACAUAGUUUGUCACACUUCCCAAGAAUAUCCUGUUUUACCAAGAAAUACAUAUAAAUAUUAAUGGCAUAUUACUUGAAUUAUUAAAAAAAAAAAAAAAAAAAAGAGAGACCAAAUUGUAACUAGUAAAUUUAGAAAAAUAGAAGUGGAAAUUAUGGACAGAUUAAUAAAAAGUACCUUUGGAUGGUAGUAAGGCCUCUGCUACCCAUAACCAAAGAAUCCAACUUCAGAUCUUCAAUAGCAUCACAUAGUUUCUCCCUAGCAUCUCCCCAGUACAGUUUGGCGACAACAUUUAUCUAUAGAAAUAUCAAUGAUUAAUAAUUUUAGAAAAAUUAAACAAAAGAAAAUUACCAAAAGGAAAAAUGAAAAGUGUGGAUGUUUGAUGAAAACCUCUUUCUGCCUAGUAGCAGUAUCAAGCAAAUCAAGAACAUCAAUAUCAGUCUUCACAUCAUAUUUCUCCAACACUUCUAGCUCCCUAAACUCCACCAACGGAAUUAAAGCUAACAAACAAAAGAAAACAUCAAAGUAUUAACAACCUGAUACGCAAAGAAUUUAACUUUAAAACAGAGAAAGAAUUUCCGUACUAUCAUAUCACCUAAACUAUAAAUACAAAUAACAUGCAUGUCCAUUGAAAGUAGGAUCAGCAACCAAAGAAAUAAAUCAAAGUACUUACUGCAAUAAACUCAAGUAAUAGAAAAAUAAGAAAACACAAUUGAAGAAGAAAAACACUUUUCCUUAUCCUUAAAGAUAUAUUAUAUGUAUAUUAUUUAGGAGAUUAUAAGCAAAUCUCUUGAAAAUUCAACAAACCAAAGUAUACCGCAUAUUAAUUAUGCUACUUCACGAGAGUCCUUAUAUUUAUAGAACUUUUGAGAUGACUUUUUAGAAGUCAUUCUCUUUUGACGAACACAUAUGUAUGUUUUAGGGCAGCCCAGUGUACUAAAGGGCCAGACUACAAGAGUUUAUUAUACGUAGCUUGACCUUGCAUUUUUACAAGGGAUUGUUUUCACAACUUAAACGCGUGACCUCCUGAUCACAUGACAACAAAUAUGUUUGUUUUAAGACCCCUAAAUAUUACAAAUUAACUCAACAUAAAAGCUAAGUCCAUCCACGAAAGAAAGAAAAGAAGAAGAAGAAAGGUUGAAGGGGUAUCUUACGAGAACCAGAUUGAGCCCAGAGCUUGUUACGUGACUCAUCAGAAGAAUGAGUUUUGAUGUGGAUGAUGUAAAAGGUGUCGUCUUUGUCAGCUAAGUUAUCAAUGGCCCAUUGCAAAGCAGUUUUGCUGCUCUUUGAGAAGUCCAUUGCUACACCAAUUGUCCUGUCU
This 4383-nucleotide long non-coding RNA is filed under the name Nicotiana tabacum (common tobacco). RNAcentral describes it as "long non-coding RNA (NTAB_LNC000231)". Lineage: Eukaryota; Viridiplantae; Streptophyta; Magnoliopsida; Solanales; Solanaceae. The record is from RNAcentral.